Molecule: long non-coding RNA, 1778 nt
Filed under: Citrus maxima (pomelo)
Lineage: Eukaryota; Viridiplantae; Streptophyta; Magnoliopsida; Sapindales; Rutaceae
Description: long non-coding RNA (CMAX_LNC001609)
Source: RNAcentral
AGGGAUUUGGUAGAGGACAUUGGAAAUAGAUAACAACAAUUUGUUUGUGCAUUGUUCAGAUUCAACGCAGAUAGAUAACUUACAACGCUAUAUACCAAACCAACGUCCGAAUAAAUAUUUAACAGACCAUCCACCUGCCGGUACAUUAACGUUUGAAAUGAAAUGCAGUAGAAUGAACUAAGGCCGGGGAGAAACUCAUUCACAAGCACGAAUAUUUUCAUCCUCCCUUCGGCCUUCCACUGCUCUUACAGUGCCAACUAUAAUUAAGCACUGCUACUUCCACCUUGAUUUCCAUGAGCCCAGUAAGGUUUAGCAGGGGUGCGUCGUAAUGCCCUCACUCCCAAUGGGUUGUCCUUGCUCUGUUGCAGAAAAUUCAAGAAAGCACAUAAGAAAAAUAAAAAAAUAAUCAAAAAGAGAAAACCAGGACUGCUAAAUUUAAACUUGAAAGCUCAAAAGAAAAACAUCAAACGAUUUCUUAAUAGAAUCAUGCAAUGCAACCAAAUAGCUUGAAUUUAAAACAUGAAUAUCGAAAUAUUUGCCCAUUGGUCUUUGGCACACUGCUGCAAAGCCUAGAGCAGCCAAGCGUACCAACAAAAUUUAGCAUAUCUUACCAUCAAGCAGGUCCCAGCACGAACAUUACAGAUGGGAUAGUCAUGUGGGCAGCAGCUAUAGUGGUCAUCACAGCAGGUGGCAGCCUCAAGCGGGCAGCAUCCCCAUGCAAAGCAAGAGUUACCAUACUCAAAGACACAGCAGCAAGUGUUGCUCUCAGGGCAAGAGUAAUAAUUGUCACACACAGCAGGAGGCUUUGUUGGAGAUGGAGGGGACGGUCCAGGGUUGGGAGGAUUUUGGCCUUUCUUUAUGGGAUAUGAGGCCUCCAUGGCAAUUCCACACUUGCCCGUGAGAGUGCCAGCCACGUUACGCUCCAUCCUAAUAUAGCCAGCCUCUCCCCAGCUACUGCCCCAUGAAUUCUUCACAAUCCAGUAAUCAGCUCCAUUUUCUGUGCCAUAUCCAACAGCAGUAACACCAUGGUCCAGAGAUGUCCCACAUCUUCCCGUAAAUAUACCCUGAAAAUUUGCAAAGACAGAAAAAUAUACUUGAGACUUCCUUAAAACAGAUCAGACACACACAAGACUCUUCCUGAUCCUGUUUAGAAACCAUUAGAAAUACAAUAAUUUUUGUUCAAAUACCAUCCAGUAUUGUCUCAACCAUAUCUUUUCAGAACUGCAAAAUGCAAAUACUUUGUAUCUAGAUAAUAGCAACAUUCCUAAAUCUAAAAUGUGACAAGUGCCAUGAAGAGAUGAAAGUUACCGAUUCAUAUAACUGGAAUGCCAUGCCACCUCCUUCAAUGGCAACACUCACGGGUUGAUUUGCAACUGCCUUUUGCAAAGCUUUCUCGUCAUUUAGGGGAACAUCUUCAUAGUCAUCAAUUGUAACUACUUUGGCAUUUUUCUGACAAAGCCAAAAACCAAAGGCUUAGAAUGAUCCUCCAUUAUAUAGUAUGGCAUUUCUUCGUAAAACAAUAGAGUAAAAAUACCUACCCGAUAUGUGUCACAGCUACCAUCAAUGGCUUUGUAGGGGUAAUCUUCUUCUGUGUCAAUACCUCCAUUAUCAAUAAUGAACUCGAAUGCAUAGUCCAUCAAACCACCAUUACAUCCUUCAUUAUAUGAUGUAUCACAAUCCACCAACUCCUGCUCGGAUAGUGAGAUCAGGCUACCUGUAACAAUCUUGUUUAUACCCUCUACAGCUGCAAUGGUUGAAAAUGCCCAGCAACUCCCUUC